This 1900-nucleotide long non-coding RNA is filed under the name Apis florea (little honeybee). RNAcentral's name for it is "uncharacterized LOC116415319". The record is from RNAcentral. Lineage: Eukaryota; Metazoa; Arthropoda; Insecta; Hymenoptera; Apidae.
AUGUAUAUUUUUCAACUUUAGAAUGCUUUUUUCAGAAAAUGAAAUAUCAAUUCUAACCUUUCAAUGAUGAAGUUGGAAUUUUCUUUCCAUGUAAACGAAGAGAUUUUAGAUGAAAUAAAUAGUUUUAAGGAAAUUUACACUGUUUAUUUUUGACACAGAACUUUGUAUUUAUUCAUAUUACUUCUAUAUACUAUGAAGAGAUAAAGUAAAAAAAAAUUCAAUUUUAUUCGAUGUACAGAGGACAAUCGAGUGUAAAGAAACGAAUCUAUCUAUGACGCAUAGAUGGCGACAGUACGAUGUUAAUAAGUAUAUCGCCAUUUCACACAUGCUUAACCUCUUUAAUUAUACAUUUCGUUCUCUCGAAAUCCGCAUCGUGUCGAUCAACAGAUAAUUUUCUCUUCUACUCGCUUAGAAUCUAAGAUUUAUAACGAAAUAAUCGUUCAAUUGCCGGAUCAUUCGACGGACAAAUGAGUCGGUUUAUCGGCCUUUAGAAUUCAGUCCAAUCGUGAGAUACGUGCUCCCGUGGGGCAUAAAUCGCAUAAGUCUUUCUAGUCGAUAGAAACCGUACUCGCAUAUCUAUAUUCGCGUUAUUCGGUACACGUAAUCGGUUUGUACUUCGAGUACCUAUUUUCUUGGAAGAAAGCAUUAGAAACAUUAUGCUUUCAAGAUACGAGAGUUGGCAAGAGUGAAAGUUCAUACACAUGAAGUUACGUCAAAAGCGAGAUACCGAAAAACUUGUGCAUAAAAACUUGACGCGUGUUAACAUUCAUGUGGCCAAUAGAGCAUUAUGCAAUGAGUCAUACGUUAUGUGCUGACAAGUACGAGCAAAUAUCUUUUCAACGAAAUUUCAUUUUGUGUGUAAUAGUUACAGUAAUAGUGAAAUUAUGUGUGAAUUAAUUGUAGGAUAUGAAUUGGAAAGUUUCGUUGGAAUUCCAGAAAGUCAAGAGGCAUCGGCGAAACGAUUGUUGGCAUCCGGUUCCACGCCUUUUUCGCGCCGAUUAUCCGGAUCGUUUGGAAUCGUGUUUCUCGCCUCGUGCCUCUUUCAGGUAUUAAUUACGAGUAGAUAACCGAAAAAAAAUAUGGGAUUAUGGAUCAAGGAGGGUAGUUUGCAUACAAUAAGAGUUGCGUAUAUAUGAUAAUCGAAGAGAAAACGCCUUUCAUAAUAUCAGUUUCCUAGUGAAAUAUCUGUGGGAUAUUUUGAUUUGAUGUUGAGGACAUGGAUUUUGAUUUGUUGAUCUUUUCUAACUCUUUUAUAUUUCCUUAGAUUAAAAAGAAGAAAUUUUAUCAAAUUACAUCAUGAAUGUUUAAUAAAGAUUGAUGAAAUAUAAAAUAUUAAAAAAAAUUAAAUUGAAGAUCUUGCACAUUCAGAUGAUUCAAUACAAUUCUAAAUUUAAAUAUAUUAAAAUUUUCAUCAACUUUAUUAAAUUGAUUUAUUCAAUUUUUCAGAAAAUAUCAUUAGAGUUACACCAUCCCAAGAUAAUUUUGAUUAAACUGUCAUAUUCAUAGAAUUUUCAAUCGAGCAAGAUUGAUUCAGUUCCCAAGACAAUUCCACUUCAUCACUAUUUCUCCUUCUAAUUUAAAUUCUAAUAAUUUCACAUUACAGAAAAACAAGAAGAGAUAAGCAAAAAAGAUAGAUUAAGGAAGGAAGCAGGAGAAAGCGAUAUCCUCUUUCUCCAGGAUAAACUGACGUAACUAAUCCCACACGGCGUUUUAUUAUCUUUCAUUAUCGAAGCACAAAUUAUAAUCCACGAAUAGCAUUUGGCGUUUAUGGAGGCAGUACCUAUGAAAACUAACCUAUACUCUUUAUUCCUGGCGCAUGUCGUCGAGACCGUCGUUGGAUCGAACAAUGCGUUCGUCCCACGCCGCGCCAUGGUGCACUACCUCGUUCCACGCUGGAUCU